GUCAAACAUGUUGGCUCAUUUUUGAAUGGGCAGAGUCUGUUGUAUAUACACAGACAAUUUUGGAUGAACCCAAGUUGGCCGAGGUUUGAGGUGUUUUGUUUUGAGCCCCCCUUCCAGCCUGCUUCACGUUGGCACCUACAGCCAGCAGACAGCGCUAACAAGUGAGGUGUUUUGAAUGAGCUGACAAAUAUUUAAGGAUUGUAUUGGGGUAGGGGAGGGCAAGGUCAUGCUGGGAUUUAUACUUUGGGAAAUCAAUGCUGCAUGUUAUUGUUGUUGCUGUAACUGCCAUUGAUUUGUUUUUGUUUUUUCUCCUCUGUUUUUUGGGGUGGGGCGCAGUGAGGAGGAUGCACAAAACUUUAUUUAUAAUUUUUACACAUGUUUUUUGAAAAAAUGUUGAAUUGUGUAUUUUUUAGAAAAGACACGCUCUUGCCUUUUCAUUUUAUGUUCUCAACUUGCUACUUUGCAAUCGACUUGUUUAGACCCAUCACUUGUAGAAAAGGGUUUGGGACUGUGGUUUAGAGCCUUCUUGGAAAACCGUUUUAUUUCAUUGUCCUCCCUCAUGACUUUAUCAGUUAGCGUGCGGAGACAGAGCUGUUUUUUUUUUUUUCUUUACCAAAAGUCUUCAAUGAUGGUGGUUGUUAUUAGCUUUUAUUUUUGUCUGUUUUGUUUGUUUAUGAUUAUGUUUUUCUAUUCAGGGUAAAGUUGACACCAAAUUGAACAAAGAAAUCAGAUGGUAACAGAUGGUGUUUGUUUUCAGCUGGUGAGGUGGAAACAGUCCUUUUUUCCACAGUUAAGGUGCGCUGACACUUGAUGCAUGCACUUGCACGCACAUGGUCAUGACAGUCCCACCCUGUGUGUUUCCAGCUAGACGCCGUGCUUUGUUCCACCAACUGCCACGCACUGAGCGCUGGAUGCUGUAUAUAUAAAAUAGUUAUUUUGUAGUGGAUUAAUCAUUUUCUGUGCAAGUUGGUUGCUGAAAGUGGCUUAAUCGCUUCCUGAAUCAAGGAGGACUGCUCCAGUCGGAGCUGUUCGCGUGAGCGCCGAUGAGCUGGGAGAAAGAAUUUGGAGCCAUCUAAAAAGGGAAUUAUGUCAUGUUUACAUUGUCAUGACUUGGUAAACAGUUGCAUGUCCUUUCCUUCUGUGUGCAGCUGUAAAAAUAUGUUUAUGAUCGAUUUAACUUCUCAUUAUAAUCGAUCAGACCAGCUGCACUCUGAUGAGGUGCACUGAUGCAACCACUCGCUCAUCACUUUUUCUUUACUCCACUUGACGAGCUGCACAUAGUGUUGGUGAGCUGAUCGCGCCACGUUGCAUGACAUUUAUGCGUGAAAGAUUUUUUUGAACAUUUCAAAAUUCUCUUUGCACAAUUGCACGUGCCGACGACCCUCUUGUGUUCAGUCUGCACCCGUUAAACAUGAGUUUACUCUCCUGCAUGACAGGUCGCGCAAGUGCGUGCAUCAAAGUCGUAUGUCAGUGGGCCUUUAGGCUGCAGUGUUUGUGCACAUGAUACCGCCACAGAUAGAAAAAUCUCUGAAAUGAAACUGUAAUAGUAUUUUUAUUAUGUAUGUUUCCUUUGAUCAGAUAUUAUGUUUGAUUUUUAUUUUUUGUUACCCCAGUUUGGGUCAUAAAGAGUGCUGUUGUUUUAUUCUACCCCAUCCUUGCCGUAAAGUCCCCUCAGUGCUUUUGUAUUUUAUUUUUUGCUCUAUUUUAUGAUUUUAUUAUUUCUGGUUUGUCUGAUGCUGUAUGCGUGGCCUGAUUGUUAAAAAACCAGAGCAUUUCCUGAUGCUGAGAUUGUUGUGACUGAUGUUGCACUUGUAAUUUUUUUUUUUAAAGCUUUAGAUUUUUUUUCCCCCCUUGCCUAGAUUGAAUUACAGUAGUGUCUCUUUCUUCUUAAGUUUCAGCAUUUAUUCGAUCAGUUGUAGUAGAUCUGUGACACGGCAAGAAAAUGAUUCAACAGUGUAUUUUAUUUUCACUAUUUAUUUAUUGGUCAUUUGUACAUUUUUAUUUUGUUUUAUUGUUGAGGGUAAACAGGACUUAAAGUAGAGAGUUAGUCUCUUUUGAUAUUAUAUCUUUGUGUACAGAAAGUGAAACAUUGUAAAUGACCAUCACACUAACAAGCAGUCUGUAAACAGACAGAUAAAAACGUGACCUAUAGAGCAGUAAGACGUGCGAAGAUACAGUUCACCCUCUGGCCCCCAUGUUGUGCUUUUAUUUUUACAGCCUUUAUUUUUUGCUAAUACUCACAGUUGAGCUAAUAUUUAAAAUAAUAAUGUGUCAUUAGUAAGUACUGAUUAAUAAAUCAGAGUGGGCUUGAAAAUAUAACAUGUAGGUACAUGAUUUCAUCUGAUGAUGACCGGUUGGCUUGAUAUAGUAACUUGCACUCUUGCUUUAAAACAUGUGACUGAGGUUUUACAGGCAGUUGCUGGUUUCUAAAUGUAGUUCUGGGUCCUGGUUGGAUGAUUUACUAGUUCACGGGGUCAGGAGAGGAUUUGUUUCGUUACAGCUGUUGCACUUUGAAAGCUUGUUGUACGCAUUACACCGUGGAUUUGACAGCUUUACUGUCCGUUUUCUUUUCUGCGCCCCCCCCCCCCCCAUUUCACCCAGUCUCAUUUCAAACUGAAUAAAUGCCCUUAUGUUGUGAACACCUCAGGAUUCUUUUGGAGAAAAUAAUAAUAAAACACUUAAAAAUAAAAUAAACAAAAACUU
Long non-coding RNA from Thalassophryne amazonica, 2703 nucleotides. RefSeq lists it as uncharacterized. The record is from RefSeq and is a predicted model, not a curated record. Lineage: Eukaryota; Metazoa; Chordata; Actinopteri; Batrachoidiformes; Batrachoididae. The transcript is spliced from 2 exons.